Molecule: ribosomal RNA, 458 nt
Filed under: uncultured bacterium
Lineage: Bacteria
Description: partial 16S ribosomal RNA
Rfam family: Bacterial small subunit ribosomal RNA
Source: RNAcentral
CCUACGGGUGGCAGCAGUGGGGAAUAUUGCACAAUGGGGGAAACCCUGAUGCAGCGACGCCGCGUGAGUGAAGAAGUAAUUCGUUACGUAAAGCUCUAUCAGCAGGGAAGCAACACUGACCUUACGGUCAGCAGACGGUACCUGAGUAAGAAGCCCCGGCUAACUACGGGCCAGCAGCCGCGGUAAUACGUAGGGGGCAAGCGUUAUCCGGAUUUACUGGGGGUAAAGGGAGUGUAGACGGCAGCGCAAGUCUGUAGUGAAAUGUCGGGGCCCAACCCCGGAACUGCUCUGGAAACUGUGAAGCUGGAGUGCAGGAGAGGUAAGCGGAAUGCCUGGUGUAGCGGUGAAAUGCGUAGAUAUCAGGAGGAACACCGGCGGCGAAGGCGGCUUACUGGACUGUAACUGACGUUGAGGCUCGAAGGCGUGGGGAGCAAACAGGAUUAGAUACCCGAGUAGUC